GACUGAUCAUAGUGGUUCAGUUGCAUCGAAAACACAUAACCACUAUAUUAGAAAGAGUUACUUUGGGAUAAAAAUAGGGUUGGGCCCAAUAACUGUUAGGUGAGGGACCCAAUGACCACCUACUUGUGAAUGGUGGGUCUGGCUUAACUAAAGAGUAUGGAAAAUAACUGUUAGGUGAACCUACAUGACUUAGAGACCAAGUGACUGCAACAUGCUUAGAGAAGUAUCUGGAUAAAGAGUUAUCCAUGCAUCGAUAUUUAUUCAUGUUACCAAUAACUGUUAGAUGAGGUGGAUGAUAUUGGUGGGACCGCACUACCCACUAGAAAUCUAAUUAUUGUAUU
This 341-nucleotide long non-coding RNA is filed under the name Elaeis guineensis (African oil palm). RNAcentral's name for it is "long non-coding RNA (EGUI_LNC068265)". The record is from RNAcentral. Lineage: Eukaryota; Viridiplantae; Streptophyta; Magnoliopsida; Arecales; Arecaceae.